AUGGCUUGGUCCUAUCUCCUCUUAACACUCUUUAUUCAGUGCAGAGGAUCCUGGGCCCAUUCUGUCAUUACUCAGCCAUCCUCAGUCUCCAGGAACCUUGGGCAGAGCAUCACCAUCUCCUGCACUGGGAAUAGCAACAACAUAGGGCAUAGUACUGAGGGAAAAUAUGUACAAUGGUACCAACAGUUCCCAGGAAUGGCCCCUAGAAUCCUCAUAUACCAAACUACCAAGCGAUAUUCUGGGGUCCCUGAUCGCUUCUCUGGCUCCAGUUCUGGCAACCCAGCCUCCUUGACCAUCACAGGGCUCUAGUAUGAGGAUGAGGCUGAUUAUUAUU
Molecule: non-coding RNA, 334 nt
Organism: Erinaceus europaeus (western European hedgehog)
Lineage: Eukaryota; Metazoa; Chordata; Mammalia; Eulipotyphla; Erinaceidae
Source: the annotation of a RefSeq genome assembly